UACGUAGGGCGCGAGCGUUGUCCGGAUUUAUUGGGCGUAAAGAGCUCGUAGGCGGUUUGUUGCGUCGACUGUGAAAACCCGCGGCUUAACUGCGGGCUUGCAGUUGAUACGGGCAGGCUAGAGUUCGGUAGGGGAGACUGGAAUUCCUGGUGUAGCGGUGAAAUGCGCAGAUAUCAGGAGGAACACCGAUGGCGAAGGCAGGUCUCUGGGCAUUAACUGACGCUGAGGAGCGAAAGCGUGGGGAGCGAACAGG
Molecule: ribosomal RNA, 253 nt
Filed under: uncultured bacterium
Lineage: Bacteria
Description: partial 16S ribosomal RNA
Rfam family: Bacterial small subunit ribosomal RNA
Source: RNAcentral